This is a non-coding RNA of Phascolarctos cinereus (koala), 668 nucleotides long. NCBI's taxonomy places the organism in Eukaryota, Metazoa, Chordata, Mammalia, Diprotodontia, Phascolarctidae. The record is from RefSeq and is a predicted model, not a curated record.
CUUUUGUGAAUAAGGAAUCAGAAGGCAGACAUAAGUGGACAGAGCGGCACCGUACUUUCUGACCAUAGAACCUGGGAGGAUAACAAGGGCACAAGUCAGGAGCUGUCAGUGUUCAUUUCCAUCCCACUGCAGAUCAUUAGCUGGACAUAACGGCUCACAGCCCUUUCUGCUCAGGCCAAGGAUCUAAGCCUGUCUUCAGGGAGAAUGGCUCUCAGGAGCCUGGGAAGGCAUACUGGGAAAUAAAAAAUACCUAAAUAUUGGAAGUCACAGCUGAGUUCUGAGCAAAGCCAGGCUCUGAUAAGUAGGGCCAGAUGAAGAAACUGAGGCCCAGGGAGGCUUGAAUGACAUGUCUAAAUUCCUACAUAUAUGGGUAUGCACCUGUGGUAGGAUUUUUUCCCAGGACCUCUGACUUGAGAACCACAAUACUUUUAUACUGUGCCAUGUUGUUCCUAAAAGAAGGGAUGGAGAUUCUAUUUUCUGGGAGGAGCUUUAUAAGAAUCUCUGCAAUGGAAAGGUGUCUUAUUAAAAACCUGCCUUUCUCCAAUGUUUCUUUCAAGUGGUCUAUAUCAGGUGCCCUUCCCAACAUUCUGGCUACCAAGGCAUUAACGCUUUCUAAUCUCCGUGAGGAGGUCACAUUCCUGAACUGGAAUUUGAGCACUCUGGCUGAG